Molecule: ribosomal RNA, 253 nt
Filed under: Bacteroides ovatus
Lineage: Bacteria; Pseudomonadati; Bacteroidota; Bacteroidia; Bacteroidales; Bacteroidaceae
Description: partial 16S ribosomal RNA
Rfam family: Bacterial small subunit ribosomal RNA
Source: RNAcentral
UACGGAGGAUCCGAGCGUUAUCCGGAUUUAUUGGGUUUAAAGGGAGCGUAGGUGGAUUGUUAAGUCAGUUGUGAAAGUUUGCGGCUCAACCGUAAAAUUGCAGUUGAAACUGGGAGUCUUGAGUACAGUAGAGGUGGGCGGAAUUCGUGGUGUAGCGGUGAAAUGCUUAGAUAUCACGAAGAACUCCGAUUGCGAAGGCAGCUCACUAGACUGUUACUGACACUGAUGCUCGAAAGUGUGGGUAUCAAACAGG